RNAcentral lists this long non-coding RNA (214 nucleotides) under Parus major (Great Tit). RNAcentral's name for it is "lncRNA (ENSPMJG00000016045.1)". Lineage: Eukaryota; Metazoa; Chordata; Aves; Passeriformes; Paridae. The record is from RNAcentral.
GAGAACAAUGAGCAAUCCGUAUAGGAAAGGUGGGGAAGGCACGCUGGACCCCCUGGAAGUUUGGGAAAUGUUGCUGUAUCAAUGUGCAGCUGGAGAAGCCAAAGCCUCUGAAGCAGAGCAGGCGCACUCAGAACUGGACAAGCUGGAGCAAGAGCUUCAAGCUGAGAUGGUUGAAGUUGCUCUGGAAUCACUGCAAGAGGAUCUGCAGCUCUGA